This 2391-nucleotide long non-coding RNA is filed under the name Macaca mulatta (Rhesus monkey). RNAcentral describes it as "lncRNA (ENSMMUG00000060708.1)". Lineage: Eukaryota; Metazoa; Chordata; Mammalia; Primates; Cercopithecidae. The record is from RNAcentral.
AAAAGACAAUGGAGGAAUGGUCUUCAUUUCCAGGGGCAUCUGCUUCCCAAAAUGAAACAUUUGGAAGUUUUUUGAGGGCUCAAGAAGGGAGCUCUAAAAUGCAACAUGUGAAGUGAGGUUAUUUAAAUUCUGAUCUAACUGUGUGGCCUAUCUUCAUGCCUGCAUUAAAAUUGUUCAGACUUUGACCAUCCACCCCCGUCAUUUUGUUUGGAUUAGCUGAGGGCUCCACUUGUGUGGUACGUUUUGAUUUUGUCUGACACAGUGUUCCCAUCCCAUCCUCCCUCAAGUAGGUCUGGAGGAAAAAAUGUACUUAGCUGAGAAGUCACAAUCUCUGCUUUUUAUGCUUCCAAGGAAACUUAACAGGAAAUGGCUUUGCUUUGCCAUAUUUAGGAUAGAUUAGAGUACAGAUUCAGGGAGUUUUCCUCAAGUUACAUUUUACACAGAAACUCAAGGACAAAUGCAAAGAAAGAAGUGGUCUCAGAAUCCAACUCCAGGAUGCUUACAGGGUCUGAUUAAAGCUUUCCAUCUGACAGAUGAGGGAAUUAAUUUCUGGUAAGAGAAAAGGUUUUACUCAAAGCUGCAUAAUGAACUACUGAUGGCUUAACAACCAGGACUAGAGCCCAGGUCUCUUGUUGCUCUUAUGCAUAAAAUAGAAAUUCAGCUAAAACAUACACUACCAAUCCAUAAAGUCAUAUGCUUUCAUUUUUAGCUCUCAUUCCAAUGCAGUGACCAAAAAUUGUAUUUCUCAGGUUUGGUCACCUGUGUCCUCAUGUGUGUGUGAAGGAUGGGUACAGGGAACAAUGCAGAGAAUAUGGGCUUCUCAGGAAUCAUCACAGAGGGAGUUCUGUGGGGUCUAUACAGAGUGAAAACAGCAAAGGGCAAUAUUUCAACAGGGGAAACUGGUAUGGUUGACCUAGAUGUGGGCAUCUCAGCAUCCUUCCCUUCAUGGGGUCUUAGUAAGGUGCAUUAUUGGGCCUGACUCCCACAGGUAACUGACUUAUAUUUUCUAACUUGUCAAGAGACUGUCUUUUGAUAUUUUAGAGUACAGAAGGAUGUUAUAGAUUGUAUCCGUGUUCUGGCCAGCUGGCACAAAUAACAUUAUCAUGAUCACUUAUCAUGGUUCCUUAAUUUGAAAAACUGUUUCAGUUUAAAAAGAGCUUUCAUAUUCAUUAUCUUAAUGACAUUCAUUUCAUUUCCUGCUUUACCUAAUGCUACCUGGCAACAUUGUCCAGGUCUGACUUCUCUAAGGGAUGUCUGCUGAGGGUAGCCGUAGGUGUUGUCCGUCUUGGUUCUACCACAGUGCCAGGAGCUUGUUUUGCAAACAGUGAGCAUGUCUUACCAGUGAUUUUCCAAUGCUAUUUUGACUCCCCAAAAGCAACCUUGUAGGUUAGGUGAGGCCAGAAAUGUUGCCAUUUAAUUAACCAAGGCUAAAAGAGGCAAUAGGCCUUGUCUAAGGAUCAGCCCAUCCCCCAUCAUUUCCUCCUUUUUAUCCAGGCCAAUAAUUCACAGAUGCCUUUGUUUCACUCAACAUCCCUGUCUUCCCCUGGGUAACGCCUGGUUAUUCCAAGAUUCAUUUCAGAGUAUUUCUGCUCUAAAAUAAUACUAUGAUAUGAGACCUUGACAUACUCUCUUCUGUCUUCUCUCAAAGUAAUUCUGAUGAUAUAUAGAGACAAAAACUCAUUGAAAAGCCCCUAAUACAGAACUCUGAAACUCUUGCAAGAAAUUGAAGGAAAUUUCACUUGCUGCAUGAUAUCGUUUGCCUCCUUUUCCCCACCCAAAUCUCAUGUUGAAUUGUAAUCCCUGAUUUUGGAGGUAGUGCCUGGUGAGAGGCGAUUGAAUCAUGAAGAUGGUUUCUAAUGGUUUAGGACCAUCCCCCUAGUGCUGUCUCAUGAUAGAGUUCUCACAAGAUCUGGUUGUUUAAAAGUAUGUAGCACCUCCCACUUCAUUCUCUUCUUCCUGCUCCAGCCAGGUAGGACAUGCUGGCUUCCCCUUCAACUUCCACCGUGAUUGUAAUUUUCUUGAGGUGUCCCCAGCCAUUCUUCCUGUACAGCCUGUGGAACCGUGAUCCAGUUAAACCUCUCUUCUUUAUAAAUUACCCAGUCUGAGGUAUUUCUGUACAGCAGUGUGGGAACAAACUAAUACACUGCAAAACUUCAGCAAUUCAACAAAGAAUCACAAUUUAUGGCUGUUGUGGUCACAUUGCUCUUUGAAAUGAGAUAGGUCCACUGGUUAAAAAAGAGGUAAGAAAAUGCUUUGUCACAUCCCACUCAUGUAUAUAGCUAUUUUUUUUUUGUCAUAGACUCAGAGUUUGGGUCCACCAGAAAAGAAUGUUAUUUUUCAAAUGAAUAGGGCCAGCUUAUUGAAAGGUAAGAUAUUGUAUCUCAUCCAAGG